UACGGAGGGUGCAAACGUUGCUCGGAAUCAUUGGGCGUAAAGCGCACGUAGGCGGCGCGUUAAGUCGGGUGUGAAAGCCCUGGGCUCAACCCAGGAAGUGCAUUCGAAACUGGCGCGCUUGAAUAUGGAAGAGGGUCGCGGAAUUCCCGGUGUAGAGGUGAAAUUCGUAGAUAUCGGGAGGAACACCAGUGGCGAAGGCGGCGACCUGGGCCAAUAUUGACGCUGAGGUGCGAAAGCGUGGGGAGCGAACAGG
Molecule: ribosomal RNA, 253 nt
Filed under: uncultured bacterium
Lineage: Bacteria
Description: partial 16S ribosomal RNA
Rfam family: Bacterial small subunit ribosomal RNA
Source: RNAcentral